CUCUUUAAUCCCAACUCCACC
RNAcentral lists this microRNA (21 nucleotides) under Marchantia polymorpha subsp. ruderalis. Lineage: Eukaryota; Viridiplantae; Streptophyta; Marchantiopsida; Marchantiales; Marchantiaceae. The record is from RNAcentral.